Molecule: long non-coding RNA, 792 nt
Filed under: Homo sapiens (human)
Lineage: Eukaryota; Metazoa; Chordata; Mammalia; Primates; Hominidae
Description: non-protein coding MIR663AHG:39
Source: RNAcentral
GAGUAAACACUAAAUAAAUAAUAAAUAAUAAAAAAGAUAAUAAUAACAAGAAAAAUGUUUAGUAUCUUAAUAAAGAAGCAAAUAAAAAUGACAAUGAUAAUAACAAGGAAGAUGCUUAGUACCUUAAAGAUACCUGACAGUUAUUUGUUAAGUGGACAAGUGGAUAAAUGAAUAACAAACUUUUUAAGGAAAUUCUGUUGGAAAAAUGCAGAAAUUCAAUAGGCACAGCUCUUCUGUAUUAUGAGCACCUUAAAGACCCAAACUGUGUAUUCCAUCUUUGUCUCCUGCAACUUGCCAAACCUAACUUAUAGAGGUCCUUUGUUAAAUAUAUAAUAAAGAUGUGCUCAUACAGUUCAUAUUGUACAAUGUGUCACAUUUAGGUAUCAGUAGCAUUUUCAUUGUUGUGAAAAGUUUUUGUAAUAUUUUUAUAAUUUUUUUGAGUUUAGAGUUAAGCUAUCUGAAUAUUUAUAAUGAUAAUAUUUUGGCUAUUAGAAACAGAGUAUCUUGCUGUAACAAAAUUACUAUUAACACACUAAUUAUCCAGUAGAUAGAACAACAUACCUUGCUCUAAUGGAGUAAACAUAUCUUAUUUGGUUUCAACUUAGACGGAAUGAAGUUGAUAAUAGUGAGACCUUGUUGGUACAAGACUAUGUAACAUAACCUGCGCUUCUCAACAAAGAAUUGCUUUUCUGACUUCUGCACUCAAUAGCAAGACAAAUCUCUCCUCUGCCUUCUCCUUAUCAGACUACUCAACAUGAAGGCAAUAAGAAUGAAGACCUCUAUGUAUAAUAA